GGCUCAGGAUGAACGCUAGCGGCAGGCUUAACACAUGCAAGUCGAGGGGCAGCGAGGGUGAUAGCAAUAUUACCUGUCGGCGACCGGCGCACGGGUGCGUAACGCGUAUGCAACCUACCAUCAACAGGGGGAUAACACUGAGAAAUUGGUACUAAUACCCCAUAAUAUCUCAUGCGGCAUCGCAUGGGGUUGAAAACUCCGGUGGUUGAUGAUGGGCAUGCGUUGUAUUAGCUGGUUGGUGAGGUAACGGCUCACCAAGGCGACGAUACAUAGGGGGACUGAGAGGUUAACCCCCCACAUUGGUACUGAGACACGGACCAAACUCCUACGGGAGGCAGCAGUGAGGAAUAUUGGUCAAUGGACGCAAGUCUGAACCAGCCAUGCCGCGUGCAGGAUGACGGCUCUAUGAGUUGUAAACUGCUUUUGUACGAGGGUAAACCCCGAUACGUGUAUCGGGUUGAAAGUAUCGUACGAAUAAGGAUCGGCUAACUCCGUG
Molecule: ribosomal RNA, 496 nt
Filed under: uncultured Alistipes sp.
Lineage: Bacteria; Pseudomonadati; Bacteroidota; Bacteroidia; Bacteroidales; Rikenellaceae
Description: bacterial SSU rRNA
Rfam family: Bacterial small subunit ribosomal RNA
Source: RNAcentral